Molecule: long non-coding RNA, 200 nt
Filed under: Elaeis guineensis (African oil palm)
Lineage: Eukaryota; Viridiplantae; Streptophyta; Magnoliopsida; Arecales; Arecaceae
Description: long non-coding RNA (EGUI_LNC013019)
Source: RNAcentral
GCUAUUCUCAUUUCAUCUCGGAAUCAGAAUCGAAAUGAAAUUUCUCCUGAUCAAAUAGUUAGAAUGAGAGUCAUCUAUUUGGAUUACGAUUUCAGACCCUCGCUCCCCUCAACCAAACACCUUCGUAGGGUCCUCUGCCUCUUUGCUGCAAUAGAUGAAAACAUACGGUCUAUAAUGUCUGUACUCUGUAGACUUCCAGC